RNAcentral lists this ribosomal RNA (704 nucleotides) under uncultured bacterium. Its description in RNAcentral is "bacterial SSU rRNA". It matches the Rfam family "Bacterial small subunit ribosomal RNA", at positions 60 to 736 of the family's 1533-position model. The record is from RNAcentral.
AGUCGACGCUUCUUUCCUCCCGAGUGCCUGCACUCAAUUGGAAAGAGGAGUGGCGGACGGGUGAGUAACACGUGGGUAACCUGCCCAUCAGAGGGGGAUAACACUUGGAAACAGGUGCUAAUACCGCAUAACAGUUUAUGCCGCAUGGCAUAAGAGUGAAAGGCGCUUUCGGGUGUCGCUGAUGGAUGGACCCGCGGUGCAUUAGCUAGUUGGUGAGGUAACGGCUCACCAAGGCCACGAUGCAUAGCCGACCUGAGAGGGUGAUCGGCCACACUGGGACUGAGACACGGCCCAGACUCCUACGGGAGGCAGCAGUAGGGAAUCUUCGGCAAUGGACGAAAGUCUGACCGAGCAACGCCGCGUGAGUGAAGAAGGUUUUCGGAUCGUAAAACUCUGUUGUUAGAGAAGAACAAGGACGUUAGUAACUGAACGUCCCCUGACGGUAUCUAACCAGAAAGCCACGGCUAACUACGUGCCAGCAGCCGCGGUAAUACGUAGGUGGCAAGCGUUGUCCGGAUUUAUUGGGCGUAAAGCGAGCGCAGGCGGUUUCUUAAGUCUGAUGUGAAAGCCCCCGGCUCAACCGGGGAGGGUCAUUGGAAACUGGGAGACUUGAGUGCAGAAGAGGAGAGUGGAAUUCCAUGUGUAGCGGUGAAAUGCGUAGAUAUAUGGAGGAACACCAGUGGCGAAAGCGGCUCUCUGGUCUG